UACGUAGGGACCGAGCGUUGUCCGGAUUCAUUGGGCGUAAAGAGCUCGUAGGCGGCUGUUCAAGUCGAACGUGAAAACUCGGAGCUCAACUCCGAGCCUGCGUUCGAUACUGGACGGCUAGAGUCUGGUAGGGGGAUCUGGAAUUCCUGGUGUAGCGGUGGAAUGCGUAGAUAUCUGGAGGAACACCGGUGGCGAAGGCGGCAUCCUGGACCAAUAUUGACGCUGAGGAGCGAAAGCCAGGGGAGCAAACGGG
This 253-nucleotide ribosomal RNA is filed under the name uncultured bacterium. RNAcentral's name for it is "partial 16S ribosomal RNA". It matches the Rfam family "Bacterial small subunit ribosomal RNA", at positions 524 to 776 of the family's 1533-position model. The record is from RNAcentral.